CUACGGGCCGCUGCAGUGAGGAAUAUUGCGCAAUGGGGGCAACCCUGACGCAGCGACGCCGCGUGAGUGAGGAAGGCCUUUGGGUCGUAAAGCUCUGUCAGAGGGGAAGAAGUGCAUAGGGGUUAAUAUCCUUUAUGUUUGACGGUACCCUCAAAGGAAGCACCGGCUAACUCCGUGCCAGCAGCCGCGGUAAUACGGAGGGUGCAAGCGUUAAUCGGAAUCACUGGGCGUAAAGGGCGCGCAGGCGGUUUGCUAAGUCAGAUGUGAAAGCCCACGGCUUAACCGUGGGAGUGCAUUUGAAACUGGCAGACUUGAGUACCAGAGGGGGUGGUGGAAUUCCCGGUGUAGAGGUGAAAUUCGUAGAUAUCGGGAGGAAUACCGGUGGCGAAGGCGACCACCUGGCUGGAUACUGACGCUGAGGCGCGAAAGCGUGGGGAGCAAACAGGAUUAGAUACCCCUGUAGUC
Molecule: ribosomal RNA, 465 nt
Filed under: uncultured bacterium
Lineage: Bacteria
Description: partial 16S ribosomal RNA
Rfam family: Bacterial small subunit ribosomal RNA
Source: RNAcentral